This 265-nucleotide unclassified non-coding RNA is filed under the name Hypocreales sp. RNAcentral's name for it is "partial contains 5.8S ribosomal RNA, internal transcribed spacer 2, and large subunit ribosomal RNA". Lineage: Eukaryota; Fungi; Ascomycota; Sordariomycetes; Hypocreales. The record is from RNAcentral.
CGCACAUUGCGCCCGUUAGUAUUCUAACGGGCAUGCCUGUUCGAGCGUCAUUUCAACCCUCAAGCCCUAUUGGGCCUGCUGUUGGAGAUCGGCCUAUAGGUGACCCUCCGGGGCCCUGGCCGCCUCCGAAAUAUAGUGGCGGUCUCGCUGUAGCCUCCUCUGCGUAGUAAAAUACCUCGCUCUGGAACGCGGCGCGGCCAUGCCGUAAAACACCCAACUUCUGAAGGUUGACCUCGGAUCAGGUAGGAAUACCCGCUGAACUUAA